AGGCCUAACACAUGCAAGUCGAACGGUAACAGGAAGAAGCUUGCUUCUUUGCUGACGAGUGGCGGACGGGUGAGUAAUGUCUGGGAAACUGCCAGAUGGAGGGGGAUAACUACUGGAAACGGUAGCUAAUACCGCAUAACGUCGCAAGACCAAAGAGGGGGACCUUCGGGCCUCUUGCCAUCGGAUGUGCCCAGAUGGGAUUAGCUAGUAGGUGGGGUAAAGGCUCACCUAGGCGACGAUCCCUAGCUGGUCUGAGAGGAUGACCAGCCACACUGGAACUGAGACACGGUCCAGACUCCUACGGGAGGCAGCAGUGGGGAAUAUUGCACAAUGGGCGCAAGCCUGAUGCAGCCAUGCCGCGUGUAUGAAGAAGGCCUUCGGGUUGUAAAGUACUUUCAGCGGGGAGGAAGGGAGUAAAGUUAAUACCUUUGCUCAUUGACGUUACCCGCAGAAGAAGCACCGGCUAACUCCGUGCCAGCAGCCGCGGUAAUACGGAGGGUGCAAGCGUUAAUCGGAAUUACUGGGCGUAAAGCGCACGCAGGCGGUUUGUUAAGUCAGAUGUGAAAUCCCCGGGCUCAACCUGGGAACUGCAUCUGAUACUGGCAAGCUUGAGUCUCGUAGAGGGGGGUAGAAUUCCAGGUGUAGCGGUGAAAUGCGUAGAGAUCUGGAGGAAUACCGGUGGCGAAGGCGGCCCCCUGGACGAAGACUGACGCUCAGGUGCGAAAGCGUGGGAGCAAACAGGAUUAGAUACCCUGGUAGUCCACGCCGUAAACGAUGUCGACUUGGAGGUUGUGCCCUUGAGGCGUGGCUUCCGGAGCUAACGCGUUAAGUCGACCGCCUGGGGGGUACGGCCGCAAGGUUAAAACUCAAAUGAAUUGACGGGGGCCCGCACAAGCGGUGGAGCAUGUGGUUUAAUUCGAUGCAACGCGAAGAACCUUACCUGGUCUUGACAUCCACAGAACUUUCCAGAGAUGGAUUGGUGCCUUCGGGAACUGUGAGACAGGUGCUGCAUGGCUGUCGUCAGCUCGUGUUGUGAAAUGUUGGGUUAAGUCCCGCAACGAGCGCAACCCUUAUCCUUUGUUGCCAGCGGUCCGGCCGGGAACUCAAAGGAGACUGCCAGUGAUAAACUGGGGGAAGGUGGGGAUGACGUCAAGUCAUCAUGGCCCUUACGACCAGGGCUACACACGUGCUACAAUGGUGCAUACAAAGAGAAGCGACCUCGCGAGAGCAAGCGGACCUCAUAAAGUGCGUCGUAGUCCGGAUUGGAGUCUGCAACUCGACUCCAUGAAGUCGGAAUCGCUAGUAAUCGUGGAUCAGAAUGCCACGGUGAAUACGUUCCCGGGCCUUGUACACACCGCCCGUCACACCAUGGGAGUGGGUUGCAAAAGAAGUAGGUAGCUUAACCUUCGGGAGGGCGCUUACCACUUUGUGAUUCAUGACUGGGGUG
This 1447-nucleotide ribosomal RNA is filed under the name uncultured organism. RNAcentral's name for it is "SSU rRNA". It matches the Rfam family "Bacterial small subunit ribosomal RNA". The record is from RNAcentral.